UAACCCUCAAGCCUAGCUUGGUGUUGGGGCCUACCUCUGGGUAGCCCUUAAAAUCAGUGGCGGUGCCAUCUGGCUCUAAGCGUAGUAAUUCUUCUCGCUACAGAGUUCCGGUGGAUGCUUGCCAACAACCCCUAAUUUUUUAUG
This 144-nucleotide unclassified non-coding RNA is filed under the name uncultured Leohumicola. Its description in RNAcentral is "sequence contains ITS2". Lineage: Eukaryota; Fungi; Ascomycota; Leotiomycetes. The record is from RNAcentral.